CAAUAGCGUAUAUUAAAGCUGUUGCGGUUAAAAAGCUCGUAGUUGGAUUUCUGUCAAGGACAACUGGUCCGCCCCUCGGGUGAGCACAUAGUUUGGUCUUGGCAUCUUGUUGGAAACUGUUGCUGCACUUGGUUGUGUGGCGCAGUGUCCAGCACUUUCACUUUGAGGAAAUUGGAGUGUUUCAAGCAGGCACAUGCCUUUGGACACAGUAGCAUGGAAUAAUUAGAUUGGGCUUUUGCUCCAACUUGUCGGUUUCUGGAGCUGAGGUGAGAAUUAAUGGGGAUUGUUGGGGGCAUCCGAAUUUAGCCGUCAGAGGUGAAAUUCUUGGAUCUGCUAAAGACGGACAACUGCGAAAGCGUUUGCCCAGGAUGUUUACAUUGA
This 381-nucleotide ribosomal RNA is filed under the name uncultured eukaryote. Its description in RNAcentral is "partial 18S ribosomal RNA". It matches the Rfam family "Eukaryotic small subunit ribosomal RNA", at positions 592 to 976 of the family's 1831-position model. The record is from RNAcentral.